CUCUAUAUAAAUGGAGUCCAAACUUCAGCUCUACACAACUUUCUUGUCAAGUCUUUCAAAGCAGAGAAGACUCUAAGCUGAAAUCACUGCAGCCAUGCUGAAGGUAGCACUUGUUCUUGGAUGCCUCCUGAGCCUCAUUGUGGCUACACCAUUGGAGCACCAGCGAUUUGCUCGCUCUAGCUCUGGCUCAAACUCCAAUGAGGCGUCAACAAACAGCUUGGCCUCCCUGCUAUCCCUGAUUUUGCAGCUCCUUGCCACCACGACCACAACUACAACAACUACAACUGCAGCUACAACAAGAGCUCCAUAAAAUGGAGUUUUGAACAUCAGUGAUGUGUUGAGAAAGCCGUCAUUGUUUUUCUCUCUCAAUUUUUCAAUGAUAUUGGAAAUCAGUUUCCAAUAUCACUGAAACUUGGAUCAAACCUGCUGUCAUGUUUGGUUUUGUGCUUAAUAAAGUUCAGCAAAAAAAACCCAA
Molecule: long non-coding RNA, 475 nt
Organism: Gambusia affinis (western mosquitofish)
Lineage: Eukaryota; Metazoa; Chordata; Actinopteri; Cyprinodontiformes; Poeciliidae
Exons: 4
Source: RefSeq, a predicted model, not a curated record